AACAACAACAACAACAAUAAGUGUUCAGGAUUUGUGAUUAUAUUUGAUUUAAAUAAACCAAUUUCAGCAUAAAAAAUCAGAUAAAAAAAAAAAAACAAGAGAACUCUUCCCACCAAAUUUUCAGACAUCAGAUAACGUACAUUUAUUAUAAGUUUAAAAAUUAAAUAAAUGAGCCUACCUUCAACAAACCAAGUAGAAUUGA
This 202-nucleotide unclassified non-coding RNA is filed under the name Hevea brasiliensis (rubber tree). The record is from RNAcentral. Lineage: Eukaryota; Viridiplantae; Streptophyta; Magnoliopsida; Malpighiales; Euphorbiaceae.